GCUAGAUAUAGGUUCCUCAUGUUUUAUCUUCUUUGGAUUGAAAGGUGAUUGAAAAACUAGGAUAACAGGCAAAUCUAUAGGAAGGUGAUAUUUGGUGAACCUAGUAGGGAGAAUGACCUGAAAGGGUUCUUGAAGAUUAUUUAAAUGCUUAAAAACGUAGACCUUCUCUGUAAAUUAGGAAGUACAAAUGCUUUUCUUUCCUUCACUCCAUGUAAAGAAAACUUGGCUCUAAAAUUAAGAAAAUUAAUCUGGGCGAGAAGGCUCAUUUUGGAAUGAUGGUGUCAUCAUAUUUAAGUGAUUCCUAGAGUUAUGGUUUCUGCUGUUUAGGGAAUUUUCCCUUAUUCAGUUAAUUUGGUGAGAGCCUUUUUUUGAGGUGGGAGAUUCUGGCCUGGCUGUAACUUGUGCUAAAGGACCCUCCAGCACCUUGGCGUUCUCUGUCUUGGGCGAGCUCCGCUGCCAGCUUUCUCAGCACCAUUACCUUGGCGAGACAAGUGCUGAGCUAGCUGGUGGUCUGGUCGGGUGUGAACACCAGGAGAACAGUACCGAUCUGUUGCAAAAGCCGUGUGACACCAAUGUGUAUGUUUUGAAUUCUAGAGAGCAAGAACGUGGUAGUGGGGAAUUUGCCAGUUAACCCUGAUCGUAGUGAUUUAUAGCCAGAGUUUAUGAGAUGAGCUGAAAGGUAGUAUACCUGUUCUCUACAACUGCUGUUUCUGGAAAAAGUAAUUUUUUUUUUUUUUUUUUGUAGAAGAUGAGACCUAUUCCUCUUUCUAGUUGGAUGAGUUAUUUGAAUGACCUCUUUCCCCAGCUGGUGGCACUAAAUUCGUUCCAUUUAAUUCAACAAUUUAUUCCAUCUCUGUUUGCAAUGCAUCAUGGCAGACUAUGAUUUAGAUUACAGUUUUUAAUAUGAUCUAGAAAGGAAGAAAGACAGGUACUUAAAUAAUUCUGAUACAAGUUAGCGCUAUCAUCACCUUGAAAGCUUUAAUAAAGGACUGCAGGCUUAGCUGUUGAUGAGGGUGGAAUUGGAUUGGAAGCUUUUCUCUUUUUUUUUUUUUUUUUUGAAACAGAGUUUGACCUGUAUUCCUAAACAAUGUGCUUUCAUUGUGAUGGCUGUUGUUCAUGGAGAGAGGCAGCAUAUUCUAUACCUUCUUUUCAUUUUCCACUUCUCUGCGCCCUCCUUCUAGGUAUCCUGUAUGUUUUAUGCAAGUGGCCGUUCUUACUCUUGAAGAAGGUAUUAGCUGUCCAACCCUAAAACAGAGGAGAUUAAUGCCUCUCCUGGUACCUUGGCUUCCCAAGGCCAGACAUGAGCCAUCGGGAUGUCUAUGCUGCAGUUAGGAGCAGCAGCUCCCUGCCUAGAAGAUGGCAAAGGAUAACAGGCUUAUUUAUGGCAUGGAACUGCUUCCUGCUUCUUCCCCUGAAUAAACUCUCAGUAUAUGGCUUGACCCCCGGUCCCCGUCAGGGAAUUAGGGAGAAAGCAAUUUUAUAGAACAAAUUUCAAUUGGCAGUGCUGAUGGAGAAGACUUUCUGGGAAUUGCCUGAAUCCAGAGAUGGUUUGCAAACAAAGUUGCAGUCCGUAGUAUUUGUAUCAAUUUUGAUUUACGUUGCUAAUUAACGGUAAUGUAUAUUUAUAUGUGUAGAAAAUCAAAUUGUUUCAAUUAUCAAGCCUCAGGAAUGCAACUCUGAAAGCUUUACUUAAAACCACCAUGCAGCUGUGGCAAUCAUUUCAGAAAUAAUUCUUCUAGUCUCAUUACAUUUAUUUUGGGGGUUGACUUUUUUUUUUUAUUAAGUUUGUCAAAGUCACUUUAUAGAUAGAUGCUUAAUAGUUUUGUUUGUUGCUCGGCUUUUGGUGAGUGUGUGACUGAACGCUUUCUAGUAAUUUUGAAAUAGUCUCAUUUGUCAUAUUUUUGUGUGAACUUUAGAAAUCAAUACAUCAAGUUAUGAAUUUUAGGUUGAUCUUUUUUUCCUUGAGGUUUCCUUUCUUUCCUUUUCUGUUCUUUUCUAUCCUUUUCCCUUUCCAGCCUCACUCUUUCCUCCCUUUCUCACUUCAUCCUUUCUUGCCCUCCUCUCUCUCUUCCCUACUUCAUUUUUGUUGAUGAUGGAAGUGAUUAUAAAUAGCGAGCGGUUAUGUCUCAAUAAGUUAAUACAUGGUUGAAUUAUUGAUUGAUUCUUAUGAGGACCUAUGUUUCAGAAGUCAAACAGAUGAAUCACCAUUCUGAAAAAAUUCAUUAGUUAUUGAGAAUUUUCUUCUCUCUUUUCAUGAAUGAGUGCUUUUUUUAUGUGUGACUUAAAUUGUUGAAAUGAGACUACGGCCAAAAAAAAAAAAAAAAGAAUCAGUUUCCAGUUAUAGUUCCUUGGAAUAACACAUGUGGUUCCAUCACCAUGUGCUGAUUUUUUAAAAACUUUAUUUCAACCAUCCAGUUUGUUUCAUGAAGCAUCAUCUAGUGAAAGUGAGGUAAUUACUAGCUGGGAUGUGCUCAACUGAAUUGUCCCUGCAUGCACCUAGUAGAGAAACCAGCUUCCUGGAUUUAUGUCUACAUGCCAGCAUUUUCUCUCUCUUUUCUCUUACUGGAAGGUCAUUAAAAAUACAUUUGUAAGCUCUGGGAUUUCAGAUCUUUGCUGUAAAGACUUGGGACUCAGUCUGAGGGAUUCCAAGGCCUCCUCCUUUUUGUCAAAUCAGAAGUCUAGCCACAGCAUUCUUUUCCACAACACAAGAUAUGUGAAUAAAAGUCGAUGGAUGAGAGCAAGAAAGAAACAUUCCUAGUCUCUCAUUUAUUGAAAAACAAAUCUCUCUUUCUAGUACUUACUAUUUUCUGGCCACCCAGACAUGGGUGUGAGUGACAGAUGUGUAGUAAUGAGAGGAAUCCUGGUAUUUCUAGUCUGGCAGUGUUGACUCAAGACCCCACACGAGUAUCUUCUCAUGGCUUAUUCAUGUAGGAUGUCAUCAGGUCCAUGGCAGACUUUCAUAAAGCAUGCAUGCAAAAAUAAGCUUACCCAAGAAAACAUGGUUAUUAUAGAAAAGCAUGUUUGCAUCACUAGGUGGCAGAAAUAAAUGGAGUUAUUGUGUUGAAUAUUCUUGAUAAUAAAUACAAAUUCUGCAUUAUAUAUCAUGGGUACCUUGCUUACAAAUAUUUGAGAACUUUUUUAUUUUCUGUGGGAUAGAUUGCAAUAGAAGAUUGCAUGGAAGUUAAGUAAAAAGUGGCAUAAAUGGAAUCCAGACAAAUUACCCAUACCUCAUAGUAAGGAAGUAUGCCAAAUACUGUAAUCCAUCUUUGGAUUACUAUACACCAACAUUGUGAGUCCUUGGGCAUAUGCAAAUAUUUGCCUGAUGUGGAAUUGUGUAAUAAAAUCAUUAUUAGUCAAAGUUUCACAGAAUUAUUAUAUUUUCAGCUGUGGAAAAAAUUAUAUAUCCAAGUAUACUGCGGUAAAAUCAAAGAUUCAUUGCUUUUGCAUUUAAAGCCAAAUAGAAUUAUAGUUUAAUAUUUGCAUGUGCCAAACAAAGCUGAGAAACAUAUAAAAAAUUAGUCCUUUACUUUGUAAAUGUGUUCAUAAAUCAGCUUUAGUCACAAAUCUCAGAGACUAAUUUCAACCUCUAUAGCCAAUAAAAGCAGGUGGCAAUGAGGGUAUAGUUUCAGGUACAGCUGGAUCUAGGAACUCAAACAAAAUCAUGACUAAUUUUUCUCUUUUCCUGCUUGCCUUAUCCUAUCCUCCUUUCCUUUUCUUUGUUCGUGACCCUGAAUGCUAUUGCUUUGCUUUGGGAUUAGGCUUGUUCUCCCUAUAUGCUGGGUAAGAAUGGAGUUUAGCAUUCUUAAAUGUAUCUCAUUCUUUUAUUUUUGAGAAGGAAAAGAUACACACACACACACACACACAUAUCAUAAACAAUGGUAGUAACCUGAUUAUCUUUGCUUGGGUAAUAGAUCCUGCCCCCUUAUGGGCACAUAAAAAUUUAGAGGGGCUGGUGCAUAUUUUAUUGUUCAAGUAUAUGUCAUAUGCCCACUCUCACAGGCAGGAAGCAGAAUGCUGUUGCUAUUUACUAUAUCCAGGAAUAUUGAAAAUACUUUUUUCUAUCACAUUGUUUUGUAAAACUAAAAGGAUUAAAUCUAUGAGGUUCAUAAGCUGUUUAUGGAUAACAUACUUACUAAAAGCCACUUAGGAAUUAUGCAGAAUUGACCCUGGGUUGCCUUUGCCAACGAAUAAGUUUUUUUUCACAGAGUAACAUUUUGGGGACACUGUCAGAAGUAGCAAUAUAGACACUUGAUUUUUUUUGCUUGAGAUGCAUGCUUGGGAAUUCUGCCUUAAUUUCAUUUAUCCAUUCAUUCACUCAGGAAAUACCUAGUGAAUACUUACCAUUAGACUGGGAAUCACAAGUGAUCAAGGCCCCUACUCAAAUGUCACCUUCUUAGUGAUGCUUUUCCUGCCUCCUCUACUGGCAACCAGAAUCCCUCUUCUCUGCCUUGCCACAUCCACUUUCCCUUUCCCUGAUUUUUUUGUCUGCAAAGCAGUCACUGCCAUCAGAUUAUAUUUUACUUUACAUCUCUCCCGAUUAGGAAUAUAAACUCCCUUAGGUCAGAUAUUUUUACUUAUUUUGUCAUUGGUUGUAUCAUCAGUAUCGAGAACUGUGUCUGGCACAAAGGGACAGUAAAUGUUGUAUUGAAGGAAUAGAUGAGGUCCUGGCUAUCAUUUCCAUUCUGUUUCUGUCCCUAAAAAUGGAUACUAGGUAUGCUACGUAUUGUACAUGCUAAACUUUUUCUAAGCAGCAAAGCAAAGCAAUCUAAAUUCAAGAAUGGCCAUGGACAUCCUAAUUUGGAUUAGAUGGUCAAAGACGCCUUGGAGAGGAGGUGACUUUUAGACCUGAAUGAGAAGCAGGCACUGUGCAGGCUUAUAUCUAGGAGAAGAGACUUUGCAGUAGAGCAAACAGGUGAAAAGAGCUCAGAGGUGGGAUUGUGUCUGGGCUAGUCAAGGAGCAGCCAGAUGGCCAAGGAAGCUAGAGUGGGCAGUGGAGAAUGGGAGGAAGAAAGGUGAUGUAUACAGAGCUCAGAACCAGCCUCACAGUUAAGAUGGGAUUUUUGUUCUCAGUAGGAAGAGAAGCCUUGCAAGGUUUUUUAAGCAGAGAGGUGACAUGAUCUGAACUAUGCUUUUCAAAAAUUGCCUGGACUAUUGUUUGUCAGCCAAGAAGGAAGACCAGUUGGAGGCCAUUGUAAGAGUCCAGGUAGACGCCAGAGGCUUUGGACUGAGUAACAGCGAUGCAGGUGUGAAGGUAGACAGACUCUGGGCCUAUUUCAAAGGUUGAGUCAAAGAAAAUUGCCAAUCGAUUGGAUGUGAAAUGAUAGAAAGAGGCAUUCUAGAUGAUUUAAGGUUUGAUUUGACCUUUUCAUUUGAAUGAUUGUAUAAACUCACCAAAUCUGUUAACCCUUGAGACUAGUGAAUUUUGUUAAAGUCCAUGAUAUAGUUACAAUUGAAAAAAAAAACUUUGAGGAAAUAAGUCCUAUUUUGUAAUAUUUGUAAUAUGAGACGCAUAGCUAAAAUGACAUAUAUAGCUAUUGAGGGGAGAAGAUAAAUUCUAGGGCUUUGCAGCUUGAAUAGUUGAUGACAGAAUGCUUGGUCUUUUAAUACCCAUGUAUGCCUGACAUAUGCCCCAGAUUUGAUGUGCUUGAGCAGUUUGUUCUGUGCUGGAAAAUAUGGUUGUCCUUUGUAGCACUGAGCAUUGUAGAAUGAGGUGGGAGUUGGCUGUAUAUAACUUGGAGGUUAAGAAGAGAGAAUGUCAAAAUUCUCUAUACAUAGAAGAAAUGAAUCAGUUUCAAGAUAUAGCAAAAUAAAGGAAUGGCUAUAGACUUGUGACACUAGCAGAGAUCCAGAGCCCUACCUAAUUAUAUUCAUAUAUCCAGAUGGGGUAUGUAUGUGACUUUAAUUGUGCACAGGGUCAUCUACCUUGAGGCUUAGGGUCUAAACUUCCUUUAAGAACAAAACACAUUUACCUGAUUCUUUUUUUGUCAAUCGAAAUCAGAGUAUCUAUGGCAGCCAGUUAGCUUAUGUGUGGCUGAGAGAUCCUCAUAGAAUUCAAAUUCCCUUGUUCAACUUCCAAAAUUCUCUUUAAGCAUCUUUAUGUGAGAGGAUUACCUCUCACAUAAAGAUAAAGAAUAGGAAAAAAAAUUCAGUAACUUACUUAAAAUUAUAGUUAUCUGAAAUUUGAAGCAUUUAAAGUUUUUCUAAGUUCUUCCACAAGCUGUCUCUUGAUGUUAAAUACAUGAGUUUUCUUUGUGACUGUUUGAUGCAACACCCUGUGAUCCACUUUCUUAAACUCCCUUCAGAAACAAAUUGAUAACUGAUUCUCUAGUUGCAAAAUAAAGCUGUAGAAAUGGUGCUUUAGGUAAAUGAAGCAUUAUUAUAAGUAAAUGGUUAGUCUAAUAGCACAUUAAAGGCAUAUUAAAUAAGAGAAAAUGGUCCUUAAAGGAACUUCAAGACAGUGGUAAAUGUAAGUCAAAUGUCUCUCAACCAUUCUGUCUGCU
Molecule: long non-coding RNA, 6500 nt
Filed under: Sus scrofa (pig)
Lineage: Eukaryota; Metazoa; Chordata; Mammalia; Artiodactyla; Suidae
Description: lncRNA (ENSSSCG00015040921.1)
Source: RNAcentral